Molecule: long non-coding RNA, 264 nt
Filed under: Medicago truncatula (barrel medic)
Lineage: Eukaryota; Viridiplantae; Streptophyta; Magnoliopsida; Fabales; Fabaceae
Description: lncRNA gene46594
Source: RNAcentral
UAAACCAAACUGAACCACAAAUUAGUUGAACCAUAUUAAAUGGAAUUAAAUGGUUCAUAAACUAAACCAGAAAUUUAAAUCGAACCGCCUUGAAAUCACCGGAGGUCCGCCGUUCGCGUCGCCGGAGCUCAACCGUGGACCACCACCGGCGGCCACUUAACCACCACCUAUCACCCUCUCUUUUAUUAAAUUGGUUUCGAACCAGUUUAUGUUUAUGAAUCAUAAACACUCUAGAUUCUUGGAUUGUUAGGUUUGUCAUUCUUC